RNAcentral lists this ribosomal RNA (503 nucleotides) under uncultured bacterium. RNAcentral's name for it is "partial 16S ribosomal RNA". It matches the Rfam family "Bacterial small subunit ribosomal RNA", at positions 30 to 523 of the family's 1533-position model. The record is from RNAcentral.
AUUGAACGCUGGCGGCAGGCUUAACACAUGCAAGUCGAGCGGGGUGAUGGUGCUUGCACUAUCACUUAGCGGCGGACGGGUGAGUAAUGCUUAGGAAUCUGCCUAUUAGUGGGGGACAACAUCUCGAAAGGGAUGCUAAUACCGCAUACGUCCUACGGGAGAAAGCAGGGGAUCACUUGUGACCUUGCGCUAAUAGAUGAGCCUAAGUCGGAUUAGCUAGUUGGUGGGGUAAAGGCCUAUCAAGGCGACGAUCUGUAGCGGGUCUGAGAGGAUGAUCCGCCACACUGGGACUGAGACACGGCCCAGACUCCUACGGGAGGCAGCAGUGGGGAAUAUUGGACAAUGGGGGGAACCCUGAUCCAGCCAUGCCGCGUGUGUGAAGAAGGCCUUAUGGUUGUAAAGCACUUUAAGCGAAGAGGAGGCUCUUUUGGUUAAUACCCAAGAUGAGUGGACGUUACUCGCAGAAUAAGCACCGGCUAACUCUGUGCCAGCCGCCGCAGUAA